GACGAACCGUCCAAACGUUAUUCGGUAUCACUGGGCUUAAAGCGUUCGUAGGCGGCCUAGUAGGUGAGAUGUGAAAGCCCACGGCUCAACCGUGGAACAGCGUUUCAAACCACUAGGCUCGAGGAUGGCAGGGGUAAUGGGAACUGAUGGUGGAGCGGUGAAAUGCGUUGAUAUCAUCAGGAACACCGGUGGCGAAAGCGCAUUACUGGGCCAUUUCUGACGCUGAGGAACGAAAGCUAGGGUAGCGAAC
RNAcentral lists this ribosomal RNA (250 nucleotides) under uncultured bacterium. RNAcentral's name for it is "partial 16S ribosomal RNA". It matches the Rfam family "Bacterial small subunit ribosomal RNA", at positions 524 to 773 of the family's 1533-position model. The record is from RNAcentral.